CAGGGAGACAACAAAAUGUAAAUAAUAAUUUUGUCACCUUAGGUCGAUCGGUAUCUCACAUUCUUAAUUUAUUAAGGAUUUUAUUUCCUAAGUUUUUUCUAGGUCACACCCAUUACUUUUCCUGGGCCAUUAGCUCAGGUGGUUAGAGCGCACCCCUGAUAAGGGUGAGGUCCCUGGUUCAAGUCCAGGAUGGCCCAUAUCUCUAUGUUGGGGGUAUAGCUCAGUUGGUAGAGCGCCUGCUUUGCAAGCAGGAUGUCAGCGGUUCGAGUCCGCUUACCUCCACUGAUUACCACCUCUUCCGUAAUUUAUAGAAAGGAAUUGUUUUGAGUUGUGAUCGAAUUCUGAACGAAUCUAGCUUCCUAAUGAAAUCAUUAAGAUGCUGGACUCAUUGAAUUAUUUUCAUUGUUUUCAGAGAACCUUGACAACUGCAUAGAUUAUUUUUAAAGACAAUAAGCAUCUUUAAUGAUGCAGAUUUAUUAUUUGUGCGAAUGCAUUAAUAACAAUUCUAUUAAGCUGAUGCUUCAAUUUUGAAGUUAUU
This 538-nucleotide transfer RNA is filed under the name uncultured cyanobacterium. RNAcentral's name for it is "partial miscellaneous RNA". The stretch from base 210 to 282 matches the Rfam family "tRNA". Lineage: Bacteria; Bacillati; Cyanobacteriota. The record is from RNAcentral.